Molecule: ribosomal RNA, 253 nt
Filed under: uncultured bacterium
Lineage: Bacteria
Description: partial 16S ribosomal RNA
Rfam family: Bacterial small subunit ribosomal RNA
Source: RNAcentral
UACGUAGGGGGCGAGCGUUGUCCGGAUUUAUUGGGCGUAAAGAGCGUGUAGGCGGCCAGGUAGGUCUGCUGUGAAAACUCGAGGCUCAACCUCGAGACGUCGGCGGAAACCAUCUGGCUAGAGUCCGGAAGAGGAGAGUGGAAUUCCUGGUGUAGCGGUGAAAUGCGCAGAUAUCAGGAAGAACACCCGUGGCGAAGGCGGCUCUCUGGGACGGUACUGACGCUGAGACGCGAAAGCGUGGGGAGCGAAUGGG